AGUAGUGCUCUGCAGUGUUUAUUUCAUCCUCAAGAUCACUUAUUUGAGACAUAGUCCUCAAGUGGAAUUAUGAAAUCAAAGAGUGACUCCAUAAAGUGCCUCACAACACAAGAGCUGAGCAGAUAUAAUUUCUACAGUAGAAUUUAAUCAUUCUGGAGAAUUACUAGCAACAGGAGAUAAAGGUGGUAGAGUUGUCAUCUUUCAACAGGAGCAGGAGAACAAAAUCCAGUCUCAUAGCAGAGGAGAAUAUAAUGUUUACAGCACCUUCCAGAGCCAUGAACCAGAGUUUGACUACUUGAAAAGUUUAGAAAUAGAAGAAAAGAUCAACAAAAUUAGGUGGUUACCCCAGAAAAAUGCUGCUCAGUUUUUAUUGUCUACCAAUGAUAAAACAAUAAAAUUAUGGAAAAUCAGUGAAAGGGACAAAAGACCAGAAGGGUAUAACUUGAAAGAGGAAGAUGGAAGGUAUAGAGAUCCUACUACAGUUACUACACUACGAGUGCCAGUCUUUAGGCCUAUGGAUCUAAUGGUUGAGGCCAGUCCACGAAGAAUAUUUGCCAAUGCUCAUAC
Molecule: small RNA, 567 nt
Filed under: Pan troglodytes (chimpanzee)
Lineage: Eukaryota; Metazoa; Chordata; Mammalia; Primates; Hominidae
Description: processed transcript
Source: RNAcentral